AGCUUAAUUAUUUUAUCUACACACAAAAUUGAAAUCCAUCCUGGAAAUUAUAAAUGAUUGAAACUUUUCCCAUUCUGCUUUCUCACAAUCCUGAAUAAAAACCCAGUUAUCCUAGUUGAAAGGCAAAAGGGAGUGUUUAUUUUGAUCGAAAAGAUUGAAACUUUGGUUUUGUUGUUUGAGAGGGAGAGAGAGAAGAUGGGUGAUAAAAAUGAUGGCUUGGGCUUGAGUUUGAGCUUGGGAUAUGCUACACAACGGAAUCAUCAUUAGCAGCCUUCUUUGAAGCUAAAUCUCAUGCCUUUGGAUUCACAAAACAAACAUAAAAAAACUUCCUGGACUGACCUCUUUCAAUCACCAGAUAGAACAUGUGAAUAUGUGAUACGAGGUUGUUUCAACGAGGGAUUGACAUGAACAGGGUACCGGCAGCUGUGGCAGAUUGUGAUGACGAAACAGGGGUUUCUUCACCAAACAGUACACUAUCCAGCUUGAUUAGUGGUAAAAGAAGCGAAAGAGAACAGAUUGGAGAAGAAACAGAAGCAGAGAGAACCUCUUGGCAUCUUGGGUACUAUUGGUUGCAGUUUUCGAUCUGGGUAGGGAUUCUUGGUUGUCUAAGAGUAACCAUUGCUUAUGUUAUGCUGCACUAUAGUUAAUUGACCGGGUCACACCCGGGUUUGACCGGGUGGACCGGGUUCCGGGUCGACCCGGCGGGUCGAUUGGGUUUCGCCGGGCCAAUUCCCAAGCGGGUUUUUGCCUCCACCCGGACCGGUCCCAGGCCCGGGUCGGCCGGGUCCCGGGUCGACCCGCCGGGCCGGUCCGGGUUUUAAAACACUGCAUGUAACCAAAUAAUUUUGCAAUCUAGCAUUCAUCAUAUAUAUAUAUAUAUA
Molecule: long non-coding RNA, 881 nt
Organism: Populus nigra (black poplar)
Lineage: Eukaryota; Viridiplantae; Streptophyta; Magnoliopsida; Malpighiales; Salicaceae
Exons: 2
Source: RefSeq, a predicted model, not a curated record